Molecule: transfer RNA, 87 nt
Filed under: Sharpea azabuensis
Lineage: Bacteria; Bacillati; Bacillota; Erysipelotrichia; Erysipelotrichales; Coprobacillaceae
Also listed under: 3 other names
Description: tRNA-Leu
Rfam family: tRNA
About the family: Transfer RNA (tRNA) molecules are approximately 80 nucleotides in length.
Source: RNAcentral
GCCCUGGUGGCGAAAUUGGUAGACGCAGCAGACUCAAAAUCUGCCGGCUUCAAACCCGUGCCGGUUCGAGUCCGGCCCAGGGCACCA